Tympanuchus pallidicinctus (lesser prairie-chicken) is the source of this 704-nucleotide long non-coding RNA. RefSeq lists it as uncharacterized. The transcript is spliced from 3 exons. The record is from RefSeq and is a predicted model, not a curated record. Lineage: Eukaryota; Metazoa; Chordata; Aves; Galliformes; Phasianidae.
GUGCUGUGCGUUGCCCUAGAGUUCCCUGCGGGGCCUCGGUUCAGUAUCGGGGACGUUCUGUGCCGGGAGGUCGGAGUGUGACCUUCCGGCGCCUCGGGGCCCGUGGCACAGCCCCGGGUCUGUUUGGCCCGUGCUCGCUCUGCGCUUACCCCGACGGGGUGCUCAGAGGGUGGCUGUAGGCCGGGCCCAGCGGUGUCCCUCAGGUUCACGGACGGCCCCGGGGCUUUGCGUCUCCUCCUGGAGAUCUUUAGAACUGAUCACACUCGGGCUGCGCCUGCAGGAGGACGCGAUGCCCCGGACAGCCUCCGGAAGUCCCCGCAACCUCAGCUGUGCUGUCGCGAAUCGCACGGGGCUGACUUCGUGUGCCGUUGCACUCGGCCGUGAAUUUUCACGCAGCAGCUGUGUGCCAGGACACGCAAAUAAGUGAAGGCGUUCCAAUUCCCUGUUACAUCGUUACUGAAUAUCAGAGCAUCCGGAUCUGCAUGAAGUGCUGAAGAGGAGGAUGCUGAGUCCCACUGCAGCAUAGAUGGAAAAGUCAUGAAAAAACAUUGGGAUUUUCUGGAGUUAUAGAUUGUAUCAUAUGGUGUAUGUGACCGAUCAUGAGAGAGAAGACCUGAGGCCUGAUCCUGCAACUGUUACAAACAUCCUACAACAGCCAUUUCAGUCACUAAGAAUGAAUAUUGAGGGUGCAAGAUUCUCCUACA